Molecule: ribosomal RNA, 431 nt
Filed under: Speleomantes imperialis
Lineage: Eukaryota; Metazoa; Chordata; Amphibia; Caudata; Plethodontidae
Description: Hydromantes imperialis partial 16S ribosomal RNA
Rfam family: Bacterial large subunit ribosomal RNA
Source: RNAcentral
UGAAUGGCAAAACGAAAGCUCAACUGUCUCCACAGGUUAAUCAAUGAAAUUGAUCUUUCCGUGCAGAAGCGGAAAUAUUUUUAUAAGACAAAAAGACCCUAUGGAGCUUCAAAUUUAAAUUAAUUAUAUAUGCUAAAAAUACAAUACAUAAUUUAAUGUAAGAUUUUAGGUUGGGGCGACCACGGAGUAAACUACAACCUCCGAGAUAAAUAAUUAAGAAAAACACUUCAAGAUAAUAAGACAAUUAAUAUACUUGAUCCAAUAUUUGAUCAACGAACCAAGUUACCCUAGGGAUAACAGCGCAAUCCUCUUAAAGAGUUCAUAUCGACAAGAGGGUUUACGACCUCGAUGUUGGAUCAGGGCCCCCUAAUGGUGCAGCAACUAUUAAAGGUUCGUUUGUUCAACGAUUAAAGCCCUACGUGAUCUGAGUU